UACCUAUGGUGUGGGCAUUGUUGCUGAAGAUCUUUAUAUCUCUCCCAUGCUUCGUAAAGAGUCUCAUCUUCUUUCAUCCAGAAGUCACUUCUCAUCUUUGAGGUC
RNAcentral lists this small nucleolar RNA (105 nucleotides) under Jatropha curcas. Its description in RNAcentral is "Plant small nucleolar RNA R71". It matches the Rfam family "Plant small nucleolar RNA R71". Rfam says of the family: R71 is a member of the C/D box family of snoRNAs containing the C (UGAUGA) and D (CUGA) box motifs. Multiple nearly identical copies of this snoRNA have been identified in Arabidopsis, and it is thought to function as a 2'-O-ribose methylation guide for 18S ribosomal RNA. The record is from Rfam by way of RNAcentral. Lineage: Eukaryota; Viridiplantae; Streptophyta; Magnoliopsida; Malpighiales; Euphorbiaceae.